AUUGAACGCUGGCGGCGUGCUUAACACAUGCAAGUCGAUCGGUAACAGGUGUAGCAAUACAUGCUGACGAGAGGCGGACGGGUGAGUAAUGCUUGGGAAUCUGCCUAUUAGUGGGGGACAACCCGGGGAAACGUCGGGCUAAUACCGCAUACGCUCUACGGAGGAAAGCCGGGACCGCAAGGCCUGGCGCUAAUAGAUGAGCCCAAGUCGGAUUAGCUAGUUGGUAGGGUAACGGCCUACCAAGGCGACAAUCCGUAGCUGGUCUGAGAGGACGACCAGCCACACCGGAACUGAGACACGGUCCGGACUCCUACGGGAGGCAGCAGUGGGGAAGUAUUGGACAAUGGGGGCGAACCCUGAUCCAGCGACGCCGCGUGGGUGAAGAAGGCCUGCGGAUUGUAAAGCCCUUUCGGUGGGGAAGAAAAGUCUCGACCUAAUACGUCGGGACCUUGACCGUACCACUAAAGAAGCACCGGCUAACUCUGUGCCAG
Molecule: ribosomal RNA, 491 nt
Filed under: uncultured bacterium
Lineage: Bacteria
Description: bacterial SSU rRNA
Rfam family: Bacterial small subunit ribosomal RNA
Source: RNAcentral